This is an RNA transcript of Thunnus maccoyii (southern bluefin tuna), 14449 nucleotides long. RefSeq lists it as uncharacterized. Lineage: Eukaryota; Metazoa; Chordata; Actinopteri; Scombriformes; Scombridae. The record is from RefSeq and is a predicted model, not a curated record. The transcript is spliced from 6 exons.
ACAGAGAUGAGCAUCUGGAUGUCAUUGCAGAAGCCACAGAAAUGCAGGUCCUUGAACAAAGUUUACAUGGCAUGAGCAUUGUUGAGGAGGACAUGGAGGAAAAUGUUUUCAAUGAUCCCUUGAACAGUGUAAUUGAUUGGGCAGAUGAAGGUUCUCCUUCCUUUCAUCGAAAAGAUGAUGGAAAGAAUGCUGACAGUUCUGAUGAAGAGUAUCUUCCACCAAUUAGUAUAUGAAUAGGUGGAGCAUUACAGAAAGCACCAUCUAUUGAUCGACUGGAAGCUAUUGGAAUUGACGAGACGGUGCAUGACCAGCCUUCACAUGAAGACCCUCUGGAUGAGCCUUCUCCUUGUGAUCAGGUACCUGUUUUCCCAGCCCCACAGUGUGUCCUUUGUGAAGAUGACAUCAUAGGUGCCAGAGCUUCAAUAGUAUAUGAGGACUGCUUGAGUCAACUGGCUACACUUGUGAUCCUGCCUGCAGAUAAAUGUUCAAGCCUUUUGAAGACGGGUGUGUUGUGCAACUGCGUUGCCCCCUUUGACAUCAAAAUCACUUCUAAGGGCACAUCAAUUAAUAUCGUAUGGGUAAGAUCCUGUUAAUGUUUAAAACUGCACACUGUCCCAAUCAAUAAAAUAAAUAAAAGUUCACUCCAACACAGAAGUGAUCACGAAUAAAAUGGGGAUUUACUUAAGUAUUUUUGUAAAAGUCCCUCACAGUUCCUCUAUUUUAUGUUUCUGAACAUGGGCAAGUGAUGCAAGUGCGAAAAGACACUUGAUGGAACAGUCUUUUGAGAGUCUGUUUUUGUCCAUGGAACAUUCUUUGACAUACAGCUAAAUUUAGCUUGACCAUUAGCCUGCCACAGAGCAGGCAAGUUCUGCUGACUAAGUUACCAUGGUUACCCCCCCCCCCCCCAAGGUAAAUAAGUAAAUAAAUAUUCUGAAACAGCUGGUAAAUCAGAGAAUCUGGGUUGCCCUUUCCUCUUACUUCCAGCAAUAAUUGGCAGCUCCACACAUCAAUACUCUUUCAUUUUAGCAUAAUUUCCAAGCCAAAUAACUUGUCUCUCCCGCAGUUUCUUCCUGGCAAUGCAAGAAUACCAUUUCCUCUUGAAUUGCCAUGCUUGGCACAAAUAGCGGGAAGGAGUGAAACUGAUUAUGUAAGUGCACAGGUCUGGACUGCUUUACAGAUGCGCACACAAAACACACCUUCGCAAUUGAAAGUGUGUGUGUACUGUCCUCUGAUUUUGAAGAAACUUUAGCUCAGAGAAUCAAGAUUGGGGUGAAUUUAUAUUGUGCAAAAAUAACAAUAGGAAUAUGAACAUAUUAUGAAGCUAAAUAAAGAUGAAUUCAAGUAGUUUGACAUAAUAUUAACCAAAGCAUCAACAUAUUUGAGACAUUUGUUAAUUUUAUUCAUGCAAUUCAGGUACAACAAUGCUAAAACACUAGUUAGAAGCUCAGUAAAGUUGGUAUGGCUAACAUGUUAGCAUAUAGUAAUCACUUAACAUAACCUCUUUUAGGUGUCAUGUUGGACAGGUAACAGCGAGACUAAACCAUACAGUCCAUACAGUAAGUUUCGGAAUUACUACGAGCAACCUGUUCACAUUACAGUUAUUUGAAUGGAAUGCUAACAUCAAACACAUUGCCUAAUGCAAGGGUACGUAAAUACUGAUGACAUUCUUUGCAGUGUAGGCACACAAAAAGGAAGGUAGAAAGAAAAUCUGAUACAAUCCAAGACUUAGACACAUAGCUAGCAUCCCUUAGCACAAGCAGAUCUGCAACUGUCCAUCCUUUCUGUGUCCAUUUUAAGUUUUCCUUAAAUAUCUUACCUCCACCAUUUCCUAAUGAGAGAUUACUUUGCAGUUCAGCUGGGAUCGCUUAUUCACUAACACUCUGGCUGGACUGAGGAAUAGGAGAGGAGACAUGAAAUCUGUUUCACUCCUCUGGUCAAAGUCUCAGCCACAAUUUGGCUCGCUGCCUUCAAUGAGUUCGUCAUGCAAGUCAAUCCGGGCAAAGAACUUCUGUUCUUGCUUUGUUGCUUCUGCCAAACCAAGAGAGAGUCUGGAGCCUCGUCUCAUCACCGGCACUGUCAGAACCCAGACGGCUGUGACUGAGUACAAAGCAAAAAUGAGACGACAGCAGGAAGUGUAGAGCCUUCCAGCAAUAGUAAUGAACAAGGUCAACCUUGACUCCAUCAUCAUCCUUCCUAAUUCAGGAAUUUUUCUCAAACAAGCUGAAACAAUAUACCUGUUUUCCUAUUUUACAAAAGUAGCUUUAGCAAAAAACUGUUGUCAUAUCUAGGGCUUUGUGGUGGGCUUAUCCCUGAUUGAACAUUUGAAAAUCCUGUUUAAGGCUGUUUUCAUCAGUCCUCUUAAAGAGGACCAAAAAGUUGACCAACAGAAAAGGGACUCAUUUCUUUUUGCAGUCCUCUUUCUGUUCUCACUAUAGUUUCUCUGUAGCUCAGACCUUUACUGCUUCGGAUUAUGGGCAGUUUUCACUUGGAACAAGAUUACUGCUGCUAUACUUGUCUCUAUAAUUAGCCCACAGAGACAGGAAAAACUGAAGUAUUUGUUCAGAUCACAUUUGAAAACAAUAAGUGACUGAGGAGACUGAGAAGACUGCAAAGGAGAUGGGUACGGAGGAGAAGAAUUUUGCAGCAACAUGACAAACUCAUCAGGCGACAUCUGAUGCUAUUAGCAACACUUGUGACACUUCAGCCCUCACCUGAAAGGUAGGUAUUACAUAUAAAAGUGAAUUCAGAAAUGCACACCUGGCUAAUUCUCAUACCACUACUAUCAACAUCCUAAUGAUAUAACAAAUUAACAGAAGUAUAAACACUAUGCUUCAAACAUUAGCUCUUUUGGGUGGUGUUCUUUGUGUCAAACAAGCAUAUUAAUGCAACAGUUUAGUUUGUUCAAUUUAAUCUGUUUUUCUCACCUUGUUGCUGCAGUGUUUUCUGUCUUCAGGGGCAUGUUCCUGAGGGCACACUGAUUAGCAGGAUUGGACACACCUGGGUCCAGUGUGCCCCGUGUAUAAAGCUGGAGGAGCUGCCAGUUCAGGCUCUGUCUUCUCUCUCCUGUGUUGCUUUUUGGUUCUCUUUCCUUUGUUUCACAAUACAACACUCACUCAUCCACUCCCUACAUUACCAACCUCAUAGACAUAUCCCACCCAUUUGUUGUUUUUGUUUGUUUUGAGUACUUUGAUUUUUAAGUGUACUUCAGACACAUUUUAAGACUCGGGGAGAUUGUGCUUUCCAGUCGGCAGCCCCUAAGCUUUGGAGUAGUUUCCCAAUAAGCUUGACGUCCUUGAACACUGUGGACUCUUUUAAAAAAGCAGCUAAAAUCUGUUCAGACAGAUGUCUUUGUUUUAUUUAUUUGAUCUGACUUGAUUGUAUUGGACUUUAUUUCUUUAUUCAGUAAUACUGAAGGCUGCAGUAGACUAUAAACUACAGUUUUGGGACAUAAAUGUAGGUUAGUCUGGAAAAGUACAUGAUACAGGACUGUUUGCAAACUCUACACUUUUGCAGAAAGGCUAGUCUGGGAGACUGGAAGCCAUGAGUCCAGAACAGUGUUCAUUUUGUCAGGUAUUUUUUUAUUUAGUCUGAGUCUUAGUCCUGUGUCAAAUGUCUUUGUUAGUUUUCAUCGUCAAGACUCAGCCUCACCUGUUUUUGGUUUUUUUUUGGUUUGUUUUUUUGUAGUCAAGUUAGUUGACUAGUCUGGGCAUUUUAGUCUUAUCUUAGUCAAAGAAAACUGUAACUAUUGUAGUAGACUUUUAGUCAAUGAAAACUGUUGAUAUUUUUUUAGCCUUCAGAUCAUAUUUAACAUUUCAGUGAAGCUAGUUGAGCCAAAACCAAUCAACCAAACCAUUUUAUCAUUUUAGUCAAACUUAUUUCACAUUAGAUUUUAUCUUCUCAUUAUCUGAUGGAAAACACAGGUUGAAUGAUUAAGAAUGCAGCUUUGCAGAAAGUGUCUGGUCUGACAGUAAUAUAAGGAAUACAUCCAGAAAUGGAACAUGUUCUGAUUUGCACAUUUAUUUUGAUCCAAAACACGUUUCAACAACUGAGGCCCAAUACUCUCUAUGAGAGUAUCAUAAAACUAUGAGAGUUGUACAGACAAUACAUUUUGAAACCAAUUUUGUUGGUUGCCUUAAGUACAAACUUCCUUAUUCUGUUCUGAACAACAGAAAUAAAAGUAGUUUGCAAAUGCAAUCUGCUUGCACUAGAAAAAAUAGAUCUGAGGUCAGUGUUAACAAGAAGAAAAAUUGAGCCCCCUGGACUUAAUAAGUACAUAAGUGUUAUGGUUCUGUUUGCAGUCUGACUCUGUGUCCCUAGCUGCCGUUCUCCAACACUUCUCCAGAGGCCCUCAGACCUUUCUCCUUUUUUGUUUGGACUGGAUUGAGUGGGAGAAAGCUGCUUUGACUUUUGUCUUUAAAAGACUAUCCUGCAUGAUGAUUAUUUGUAUUGUCUAUUUCGGUUGGUCUGUCUUUGUUUUCACUCAAGUCUGAACUCAUACAGCAUAUACUCUGUCUCAGUGAUAAAGAGCAUUGUGUGCAUUUCUACUUUCAACUUAUACUGCAGAACUAGCCUGUUCUGUGGCAGGCUAACUGUCAAGCUUAAUUUAGCUGUGUGUCAAAGAAUGUCCGACAGGCAGAAACAGAAUCCAAAAGAUGGUUCCGUGAAGUGUGUUUUCACACUUGCAUCCCUCAUUUAUUUAUUUUUACUAUACUCCCAUGAUAAGCGGCUGCGGCACCAAUAUUGCCUACAUGAGGCUGGUCCUGCAUGCAGAUUGAAAUCAUGACAGGAAAAACUAAUUUUCUCUCAAUGACAAACAUAGUCUCCUCAAAGCUAAUGACAAAAGGGGGGAAUUAAAUCUAAGGAAAGGAUCACUGCUCUCUUUACCUGUCCUGCCGCCAGAGAAAAGAAGGAACUUGUAAUCAGCAAAAGUCAGAAGCUCUGCUACUUCAAACGUGUGCACUCACUACGUCUAAACAGCUGUACUGUAUUUUGAAACAGUCAAUAAUAUUCAGUAAAUAGUGAAGCUGUCCGUUUCAUUAUUUUAUCUUCAUAUAGGCUAAUAAAUUGGCUAAUUAAUUGGCUGUACAAAUGUUAAUUAGAUAGUAUUCUGCGUGAGAAAUAAAGAAGAAAAAAUCAGUUAUAAUAAUCAUCCGCUUAUAGUGACAUUUGACCCGGCCAAACGUGAUCACUAUAAACAGUUUCCAUUGUACUUAUAUCCUCCAGUUUCUUCAUCUCCAAUCGCAACUUCCUAAUUCUUAACUUUUGAUAACACUUGUAAAUCAAACAGACGUCCUGGGAAAGUGAAAAUGUUAUUACGUAGUUGGUAAUGGUAAGUUGGUUGGAGUUGCCUACACCAUAAUUUAAACAUACAUUAAUAUUAUCUAGCCUACUGAUAAUAUAGCCAGAGUCAGUGAUCUGUAUGUUCAUUUAUUAACAAAUUCAACCAUAAAUAAUAAUAAAUUCACUUUCCCCUCCCAGAUUCAUCCUGCUGGUCCAGGCAAUAGAAUUGUCAACCUUAUAGUCCUUAUGAGCCUAUAUAGGCUCAUAAGGACUAUAAUUUACAGUUUUAAAGUCAUCUCCCUCACCUUAUUAAUUGUGGCAGUAUUGCCCUUUUUGGUGAUGACUCCUUUAUAUUCAUAUAGUUUCAUCAGCAGGUUUGUUCCACUGCUGAGAAGAACACAGCUCUAGUUUUCCCCUCUUUUUGUGACAGAGUUUUUUUUGACAAUUGACUGUUUUGGGCUGCUUAUGUACUCUGUGCAUGUGCACACUGCAAGCUUAUUCAAGUCUGGCUAGACUUAGCGUUGACUAGACGGCUGUGCUGUGUUAGUGGAAGAGCUUGAGCCUCAAGCGAAAGUUGACAUUAAUUAUAACCAGAGGGGUGUGCUACAAAGCAAGUUCAACAUACUCAGGCUUUCUUUGUGUGAGCUGGCUCGACAAACCCUCUACUCAUGAUCAGAGGUAAGUGGUAUCACGACAGUGGUUAUCAACUUUCUUUGUUAAUCCGGGCUUUCUGUUUCAGGCUUUGUGCGCACUCCCAUAGUUUGGCGCGUCAUUUGACUUUUCCGCACAAAAUUGACCGAUCGGGUGCCACCUACUUUAGUCAAGCUGGCUAACAAGAUAGCCUGGCUUAUUUUGAUAAGCUUCGCUAAUUUAAGUGAGUUCCGUUCCAUCGCUGCAGCUUAUAUGAGUCCCAGCUCAGUAACCAUGGUAACCUAGUCAGCAGAACUAGCCUGCUCCAUGGCAGGCUGACAGUCAAGCUUAAUUUAGCUGUGUGUCAAAGAAUGUCCGUUGGACGGAAACAGACUCUCAAAAGACGCUUCCAUCAAGUGUCUUUUCGCACUCGCAUCACUUGCCCAUGUUCGGAAACAUAAAAUAGAGGAACUGUGAGGGACUUUUACAAAAAUACUUAAGUAAAUCCCCAUUUUAUUCGUGAUCACUUCUGUGUUGGAGUGAACCUUUUCAUUUAAAAGCUUAGCAUUUAUAAUUUAAGUGAGCGCAGCUUUCUUUAGCUGCGUUGAUGGAGCACCCCUCAGGGUAAGUUCUGCAGCAUCAGUUACCAUGGUGAUCUAGCCAAGUUAAAAGAGAGCCACCUUUAUGACAUUGAAAACCCUGGCUUUAGGCUCAAUGUACCUCACUAACCCACUAAUCUCACUUUGUAGUACACCCCUCGGGUUUUUUCAAGUAAGCACAGCAUUCUUUAGAUGCAUUGAUGGAACACCCCUAAGGGCUCUUGUUUUCUUUGGUUUUAUCCAUGCCUUGCUUUGGUCUUAUUCUUCUAUUUCUCAUGUGUUGCUGUAGUCCUGCUUAGACUGUUUUCCCCUGCACAUCUGUUCAGUGUUUAGCCUCAUCAGCCUUGCCCUGCAUUUUACGUGCCACACCCUCUUAACCACCUUGUUUCCCAAUCAUCAUGAUCUCUCCCUAUUCUAGGGGCUGUUGCACAAAACCUAGAUGGGGGAUUAUGCCAGGAUUUUUCAGUUAUCCUGGUUGAAUUUAAAUUACUAUGGAGAUUUAUUCUGUGCAGCUAGCCUGCUCCAGACCAGGCUAACAGGAACCUACUGUUCAUAUUGCUGUCAGGGGUUUGAUGAUUAUGUAUAUUAUUGCACAUCUUGAGAUGAUUAGAAAUGGCUGAUGAAACCUAUCCCUUACUAAUAAAGGAUAGUGUAUGUCACUCUUCCCUGUGUACGUGUAUUUUAUUUGGAAUUGGUAGCACACAGUUUGUGGUUGUUAGUUUUCUUAAUUGUAUAAUCUUCCCAAAUUAUAGUCUCACAUCACUUGACCGAUAACUAUAUAGUGUAGUGUACAUUCAUGAAACUGGGAGGACACCACAAUGUGUUUUGACCUUUUUAUUUUGCAGUCAUCACUUGUCAGCUUGGAGCUUGGGAGAGAGAACAACAGUGAUUAAUACAUUGUGUUACAAUCAUACUUACAGUAUGCAUUGAAAUCACUUCCCUUUCUAGUUUCAGGAUUUCCUCAGUGUCUUUCGUUUGAUUUCCAUGUUAAGGUCCAUAUCCUGCAGUUUUUUCUUGUGGACUUUAAUCUUCACAUCUGCCAGCUCUAUUUGUCUCUUUAGGUGUUUGGUGUAUAGACAUCUGACAGUUUGUGAAUUCUGUAAAACACCUAUCAAUUAGCACAGCAGGAAUUGUGCAUAAGGUGGAUUUCCUUUGGGCAAUACUCACUAUUUUUCUAUGCUGGCUAUCAGGCUGUACAGCCUCUGUGUCCUGUUACAAAUGUGAUAUUUUCUAUGAGCACUACAUCACUUACUACUUAUCCACUAUGGACUAAGUAUCGUAUCCAAUAGAAUUUGUAUUGAUCUAGCAUUGACAGGAUGUGCCAAACCUACGCCUUUAAUGAAUAACACUCACCAGAUUACCGUCUGGUGGCUCUAGAAGAGCGAGUGUGUUGCCAGACACUGCAAGGCAAGCCAAAGUCAGACAGUCCACAUAACACCUGUAGCGGUUCGGACAAUUUGAACUACCCUCAACCCCACAAAGUAUACAUGGUUAACUCAUGACCCUAAAAAAAAAAAUGCUUUCAAAAGACCUUUUGGUAUUGUAUAAACAAACACAAAAUGAACACUUAAAUAAAGUUAAUAAGGCCAAACACACCACCAUUUGAAUUUCACAAAAUUAUAUUAGAGCACUCACACAAAAAAACAAAACUCUUCAACAAAUCAGUCCAGGUCCAUAAACAAAAAUAGUGCUCCGUUCCGGGUUUUUCCCGUUUCUCAAUAUAGUUCAGUUUCAAACAGUCCAGUUCUCAAACAAAAAUAAUCUGCCUUGGGUUUUCCCGGAAUUCCAAACAAAACCCAAAAUAAGGAAGUCAGUUCAGCUUUUCACCGUCCUACCAACCCCAAAAGCCCAGUCAAAAAAGAAAAGAAAAGAUAACGAAAAGAGCACAGUGAAGUCACCCGGCUUUAGCCGACUCACGGUUCAGGGGAAGUGUGGAAACGUGCGUUGUCCGGAGUUGUAAACAUGGACGGUUCUGUGUGUUCGUGGAGAUAAGAAGAGAGGCUGCAGUAUCCACGGCUCGAGGGCAACCAAGGUGGAUGUUAACGACGCGGACUGAAACGCGCGCUGAUGGCCAAGGAUAGGCUUACUACGGACAUGGAUGACUCACGAGGGUUUCUCUCCUGCUGUUCACCUGCCGGCGACUCCCGCCAUACUGAAUUAAAUCUCCUGGUACGAAAAACGGAAGAGGCUGGACUCCGAGGGAGUGGCAAUGUGGAGCUAACUCACUGGCUGACUGGACUAGUGGGGUGUGGAAGUAAGUAAAAAAAACAAAAAAAAACAAAAUGGGCAAUCGCAUACCAAAACAUAACAUAUAUUUAAAGCAUGAAUGUCAGGUAUUUGCUUAGUCACGAACAUAGCACAGAUACCAAACUGAUACAAAACUUUCAAAUCCUUAUUAUUUUUUUUUUUUUUUUAUUCUGUGGGAGUGAUCGCCACACACCGUAUACAUGGUUGAUUGAGUUCCAUGUGCAGUACUGGAAUAAUGUACCUUGUAUGAAGAGGGCAGUUUCUGUAGGGACAGAGUCAGUGGCGUCCCCCCCGGAUCCCUUCCAUCACAGGCCUCCCUUGGUUCAGGUCAAGGGCCAGCUCCUCUGCUGGGGUGGGGUCUGGGGUUGGUGGGCCACCACCCGUGCCAGACACAUGAGCCUUUUUCUUAACUGCUAAAAUCAGUACAGACAAUAAAAUAUGUGAGCAGGCACCUUCUAAGUAAUUUAUACACCUCAUUUGUACAUUAUCAUCAGCAAUCAAGGCAGCCUGCAAAAAACGAUUAAGCCUGGAUGCACUGAUUAGACUAGGUCAAGCCUCACUUUUUCAAUUAUCCUGGAUUUCUGAAUUCUGCUUUUGUGCGAUAGCCCUCUGGUCCCUGCUCACCCUAGCUGUGCCCUGUUUUGUUUAGUCCCCUGUGUAUAUAUACCUGUCUGUUCUCUUAGUCAAGACCUCGAAUCUCUAGAUGACGCGACGCAGCAGCCUCGCGUGAGAUGUGCGUCUCAUGUGGGCUGUGUGACUGCUCUAACCUGUUAACAUGGGCGCCGAAAUGAAAAGCAAGAGGUUCUGCGAUGCACAUGUGCUGCUUAUGCAUCCAGUGUGUCCCAGGCGUUAUACACUGAUAUUUUAAUCAAUACAGCAGUCUAUAUGGGCUGCGUAAUGGCUCACGUUUCAUUCGCAUUACAUACACGUAAACAUGGCCUGAAGUCUAUUUUCCUCCGUUUUAUGCAUCUAACUAGUGAUUGUGUAUUGGGCUCUGAGCGCUUCAAACACAUGAGUGAUCUACACUCAAGUAGACACAUAGACAGAGCACUCACUGCUGCUGCUGCUCUGCUGAUGUGCUACUCAGACCACACCUCAUGAUUCUAAACUACAUUUUAGUCUUUUUCGUCAUGCUGAUAUAGUCAGUGUUUAAUGAUGUUGGUGCUGUCUCAUCAUCUUCUUGUCUUAGUCAUGGGAAAAAGAGGGAGCUGACAAACACAUUCAGUCAUAGUUAAUGAAAUUAAUAUUAGCUCAGAAACCAUAUCCUGAAGGACACGAGACCAGCAACGGUUGAUUACAAACUGAGUCGAGCAAGAAUGUAUGUAGAAGGAGCUUUCUUUGCACAAAACAUGCUGAUUAAUCACUCUGAGUUCAUUUGGAGGGCUGAAAAGGACUAAGUGUGAAAACACCUUAAGGAUCUAGCCCCCACAAAGUACAAACUGCAACACAUCAGACACAUCAUGUAUUGUUGCAGCAUUUGACUCUUGUAGCAAACACUGGACACGCUGUACAGGCUGAAGAAGUCAAGGUACAGUAGCCAGGAAAUAGAUCAGUGGCAUAAGAGGUAUUUCUGGUACUGCUGUCUUUGCAUGGUGGAUACCUCUAUUAAUGGACCAGCAAAAAUUCCCACAGUGUAAGAUGUUCAGUGAUGCCAUCACAGGUCAGAUUGCUUGUUGUCUGUCAAUGCCUAAAGCAGUCACUUUUGGUUACAGCAGUUCUUUAGUAACACAGUUCUGCUGUAAAGUUAUUGACCAACUCUAGGAUGGAGGUGAUUACAUUCUCUCCAGUUCAAAAUCCAUGAAAUGUGUCCAUGAGAGAUGGGGAAUGAAAUGCAACAACCAUCCCCAUCCGGACACUAACAAGGGACAUUUAUGAUCAUGGCCAGUUCCUUAAAUCCCUAAACCAAGAGGGCACUCCAUAAUGCUUCUCACUUCUUUGAUGCAGCUGAUUUCUUUCCAAAAGGAUUACUUAAUUAAUGUGCAACUAAUUUAAUUGUACUAUUUAUUGAAUUUGUCAAAGCUGUUUGUUUGAAGAUAUUCUAGUUGAUUAAUUGUUUUCAACGAUGCAGUUAGCACAUCCCUGUCCCUUCAUUAUCUAAAACCACUAAUGGCCUGUCUCCUGUGAGUAUGAAAGCACUCUUUCAUGUGUCAAUAAUGUACCCCGGAAGCAACUCUUUUUCCCUCUCCUUCUCAUAAUCCUCUUCAGUCAUCUUCCACUUCUGAGAACUACACCUGAGCAUACAAACAGAUUUACAAUGAGUGAUGACUCCUCAUCUUCAUUGCCUCUGGAAAGCAUUCCUUCAGCAAAAGGAGACUAGCACUGAAUGGACUAUUAUCUCAGUCGUGCAGUCAUGGUUACCCAUUGUGUAUGGCCGCGCUCCAGUCUGCUGCUGCUGCUGCUGCUGCUGUAAACACUGCCUACCAGGGCUUUCUCUGUUAGAUACAAAUUAAAAGGUUGGAUGUGAUAUAAUACUAUAAACCUACGCAAAACAAAUUUAAGGAUAUAAUCAAUGGUUAGUUAAUAUGCUAUGUUGUGGAAGGAAAAAAAUCACCUUUUAAAAAUCACUCCACAUUUCAUAAAUUUGACCUCUUUUCAACAGUGUAUAUACUAUCAUUUUUGGGGGGCAAGGCCUGCCACUGAACUGUUUAGAAACCAACCUAGAAGGCAUUGACACUGCCAAGAUUAGGCUGUAUUCAGACCAAAUCAGGUGGUGCGGCGAAAACGUCAGUCUUCCCAUUCAUUUCGGUUUUGGUUGAGAUCUUUUUGGCCACAGCUGUGCUGCACCGGCCUGUAGCUGGAAAGUUGAGCCAGAAUCAGCUUUUGGAGAAGUGCAACCUGACAUCACUGUGCCAAUCACAACUGGAGAUCAGACUGAUCAGAGCUGUAAACCCUGCCAUGAGGGAGUUUUUGUUUUAUAAUGAGAUGUAAAUGAGUUUGACAAGUCACCUGAUUUAUGAUUAGCAUGUUGACCAGUGUUCAAAAGACACCCUGACCAUAUUCUGAGUUAUUGAAUAAUGAAUUCCAUUUCUUUCCAUUUCUUUCCUUAGACAGACAAUAUUGUGUCGGACAGUGCAGGCAACAGUGAUGUCGCAGGCCCCGUCAGGUGGUGAAGACACUGAAAAUGUGACUUUAGAAGGCCGAAUGCCAUCUCAAUUCGGGCCCUUCAUCUUGCACGGACAAAUACUGUAGAAGUUGGGCCUGAAAGACAUUGUCAGCCCCACUCAACAGACUAAGAAGUGGGACAACCUGAAAAGAAAAUAUAAGGUACACACUUGUUCAAAAGAAUCAUGCCUUAGCCUCUAAGGAGGGGAUGGGGACAGACAAAGGGAAGGCCAGAGCAGCCACCGGGCCCUGGUUUACCCCGAUGCAUGAGGCCAUUGGGGGCAGGCCUUCUAUUGUGCAUUCUGUCCUAAUGGAGUCAUACAGUGGAGAGAACCAGGCACCAGUGGAUACUUUGGACUGUGAAGGCAGUGGCCCAACUCCUUCUACAUCUGCGGUGGCCCACCUGCUGACCAGCAAGCGAGGAGGACGAUGAUGAGGAAGAGGCACCAGCAGAGCCGGGCAAGUGUGACACAAAAGGAUGGUGAGCCCUGCACUUCAGCCUGUCCUCGACCCCCCCAAAAGGAGGAGAAGCAGGCUGUUGCAGCUGCUAUAUGAGGAGGCCAGGAAAGAGGAUGAGUGCUUUUGGACCAAUCAUGCAUAGAAUGAAUGGUUUUUGAACCUCUUUGAAGACAGAGAGUUAACAAGAGUUAACUUUAAGUUAGAUUAAUCAUCCAUUUUUCUUGUUACAAUACAGAGGAGCCCAAAUACAACUUUAAUUUAUUACAUUGUAUUAUGUGCCAACACAGGUUUGGUAUUUAAGGUAUUUUGGGUAAGCUUUUGUUUAUAUUGCCAAUACAGUUCAAUGCCGAAUAAAUUAAAUAAUGUUUAUGUUUCUAUCUCAGUUUGUAAUCCUUAAGCAAAUAUCCAUCAGAUGGUACAAGUUUCAAGUUUGCAGUGUUCAACACAAACAACUUUAUUAAUCCCACUAGAGCCAAACUGUUAGGAGCAGCUUGUUGUACACACAACACAGUAACACACAAACAAGCAGAGAAAUAAUACAAUAUACAGCAACAAAGGAAACCAAGAACAGCAGGAUUCUGUAUGUAGAAUAUAAAUCCAUAAAUAAGAUAAAUGAUAAUGAUAAAUGACCUUGAUGAACACAAUAAUAGGAUCAGAUGAAUGCGAGCACCCAUAUAAUUAACACAAUGUCUACAAAACAAAGGCAGGGCACGGACAAGAUACAUAAAAACAGUAUGGCCUGGUAACUAGUAAAGAGGAUGUUCAGUAAUCAUGCUCCCAUAACGCAGCAAUACGUACAGAUGGAGAGUUGUCCAGCCAUCCUGUCCCUCCAAACACAUGCCCUCGUCUCCCCCCUCACUAUCUGCGGUGGAGUCACAGGGGGGUCAUCAAUGUCCUGCACUGGUUAGAGUAUGUCCCCUGCUGUCAGGAAAAUGUGCAGGACAGCAAAGCCAGUGAUGACUGUUGGUGCAAAGUUGUGAUUCACCUCCAGGACCUUCUACAGCCGGGACCUCCAGCAGGUCUUCAACAUGUCAAACGUAUGUUCAGUUUUUCAGCGGGCCUUGGUAUGGUGCUGGUUGAACCUGCUUUGUACCCUCCCUUGCAGUGGCUCAUGAUACGGGGUGAUGAUGGAAAUAGGAUGGCUAGUGCAGUGGUAGCCACCAUCACCCACUAUAGAGCACCCUCGGGGAGGGUACAGCGCACCUCUAAACACCCCGCUGUUCUUCAGUAUCCUGGUGUUGUGGACAGACUCUGGAUACCCCACAUAUGUGUUUAAGAACUUGACCGUCCCAUUACACACAGCCUGUAGCUGGAUGGAUGUGAAGAGCUUUCUAUUCAGCUAGUUCUGGCCAUCGGGUCCUGGCAGGGGUUUUAUUCUCAUGUGGCAUCCAUCAGUGGCACCGACGCAUGUGCCAAACACAGGACUGUUGGCCAGGAGCUGAAACUGGUGACCAACCUCAUCCAGUUCCUGGGUGGUGGGGAAUAUAGCUAUGUCCUGGUGCAGGGCAGCAAUCCUCCUCACUCCUUUGUGGACCAGCCUGCACACAAGAGUAGAUGAUGUAUGGGCAAAUGUUUAAGCGCUACAUAUCAUACUGUGGCAGAAUUUAUUUGCCCAUGUUAAUCGAAAUUACAUACCUGUAAACAGUAGACAGAAGUACUGCCAAGGCCCAGGACACGACACUGUAUGACAGCCAGCCUUUCAGUCAGUACACAGUUAUCAGUAUUUGAGUAGCAUCUGGUCCAUGGGCUGGAUGUCAGCUGCAGCAGGCUCAGCUCCGACGUUACUACUUCUUUUAUUUGUACUUCUUAACCUUUUGGUAUAAUUUAUUAUCAUGCUGAGCUCCUCCACACACAUACAGAGUGAAGUUAGCAAACAGCAGAACACACAUGAAGUGAAGAUUACUUGAGUUGAUGACAACUGCGCUCGUGACUGUAAGUGCAAUAAAACCUUUGCGAAUAAAAAGCCAAUACUUUAUCAAUACACCUGUUCAACAAGAAUAAACAUGUUGAAAAGCAAUAUUUCAAUCUGCUCUGUCCGCAAUCUCUCAUCCACCGCCUACUAUGCCCAGCUAAUAGCGAAUUGUUAUGAACAAACUAAAAUGAAAGCUGUCUGUAUGUAGUCUAACUGUUUA